CCAGUGUGGCAGAACUGGUUGAGCUACCCUAAACAACAACAACAACAACUAUUAUUAUUAUUAUUAUUAUUAUUAUUAUUAUUAUUUAGGGCAGCUCAACCAGUUCUGCCACACUGG
This 117-nucleotide microRNA precursor is filed under the name Podarcis lilfordi (Lilford's wall lizard). The record is from RNAcentral. Lineage: Eukaryota; Metazoa; Chordata; Lepidosauria; Squamata; Lacertidae.